CCUUCGCCAACCCCAGGCUGCCACGUGGCGAUUUGAACGCUGUGAAAGAGUCCCUGGGGUUUUUGGAGAGCAAACAAGAACACACCGGAGCAUCGCAGCGCUCGCAAGAUCUUCAUUCUCUCUCUCGAUUCAUCGUCCUGCAGGGUGAGUGGUAAAUUCUUGGACUGAAAUCUCGGGGAUUUUGGCGCUGGAAGCAGGCAUGGUGCCAAGAAUCGUCGCCUAGGGAUCCAUCGCGCCGCGCCAUCGACCGAUCCCCUCCAUCCCCAUGGACUGGAAAGAUCCGCGGCUCACCGAGCAGAUAUUGCAGUACACGCUCAUCUCCUCGGCGCUCAUCGCGAUCGCCGCGGGCUACCUCACCGCCUCGCUCAAGACGAUGUUCCUCGUCUAUGGCGGCUGCGUGUUCGUGACGCUGCUCGUCAUCGUCCCCGACUGGCCCUACUUCUGCCGCCAUCCCCGCGAGUGGAUGACUCCAAAGAGGGCCGACGCUCCGUUCCACCACCAGCAGCAGCGAUCAUCGCCGGGCCUGGAAUCCAUCCGAGAAUCGGCGCUGGAUGCCAGCAAGAGAGAUUGAUUGAUCGACGCUUUCCUCCUCUCCUCUCCUCUCUCUCUCUCUCUCUCUCUCUCUCAGAGCUUUCUAAUCCGAUCCUGGCAAGAAUAAUCACCAAGAAGGAUUCGAUUUCUCUUCGUCUUCUCGGGGAUUUCUCCUCCCCCCUCCUCCCAGCGCUCCAGAUUCAUUGAUUUCUUCGCCCCAGUACCAGCGCAUCGUUGUUCUCUUUUAAUGCUUGGCAGCCUUUCGCUCUGGUGGCCACUACCUGACAUAAAUUCAAUGGAACCUUUUUUUAUUUUUCUUUGUGAACGUUAGAACCCUAGAAAUGCGAAAGAGGAAGAACCCUAAAUUUCGUUGGCUAUGGCGGAGGAGGAAGAAGGCGCGGGCUUCCACCUAGGGCAGCGCGUCCGGAGCGCGAGAGAGGCGCAGCAGCUCGGCACGGUGAGGUAUGUCGGGCCAGUGGAGGGCUACGACGGGGUCUGGAUUGGAGUGGAUUGGGACAGCGGACAAUCUCGCCACGACGGCUCCGUCAAAGGCGUUCGCUACUUCACCGCCAGCGGCGAGAAGUCGGGAUCGCUCGUGAGGCCUUCGAAUCUCAGCGCUGGGUGGAGUUUGCUCGAAGCUCUUGUCUCUAGGUACAAGAUCAGCAUGAGCAAAGACGAUGCAG
This 1214-nucleotide long non-coding RNA is filed under the name Selaginella moellendorffii. Its description in RNAcentral is "long non-coding RNA (SMOE_LNC000891)". Lineage: Eukaryota; Viridiplantae; Streptophyta; Lycopodiopsida; Selaginellales; Selaginellaceae. The record is from RNAcentral.